AUAUUCAAAGUCCGUUAGUAAGAGUUUACGGUGGGUGGGUAAGCAGGAGGGGAUCCCUGUGGUUAGACUAACUGGCCGAGAAGGUUAGCGAGGUUCCUGCUAUGGUGAAGUGAAAGAUCUUUCACUAUAGUGGGAAGAAGACAGGUGGGAACGAGCGGAGCGAGUGAGAAGGUUAGCGAGGUUCUUGCUAUGGUGAAGUGAAAGAUCUUUCACUACAGUGGGAAGAAGACAGGUGGGAACGAGCGGAGCGAGAGAGAAGCAAGUUCCAGUGGUGGGCUGUCUUCCUGGUCCCAUU
This 295-nucleotide long non-coding RNA is filed under the name Nicotiana benthamiana. Its description in RNAcentral is "long non-coding RNA (NBEN_LNC023324)". Lineage: Eukaryota; Viridiplantae; Streptophyta; Magnoliopsida; Solanales; Solanaceae. The record is from RNAcentral.